UACGGGGGGAGCAAGCGUUGUUCUGAUUUACUGGGCGUAAAGGGCGCGUAGGCGGUCGUGACAAGUCACUUGUGAAAUCUCCGGGCUUAACUCGGAACGGUCAAGUGAUACUGUCGGACUAGAGUACAGAAGGGGCAACUGGAAUUCUCGGUGUAGCGGUGAAAUGCGUAGAUAUCGAGAGGAACACCUGCGGCGAAGGCGGCUACCUGGACCGGUUCUGACGCUGAGGCGCGAAAGCGUGGGUAGCAAACAGG
This 254-nucleotide ribosomal RNA is filed under the name uncultured bacterium. Its description in RNAcentral is "partial 16S ribosomal RNA". It matches the Rfam family "Bacterial small subunit ribosomal RNA", at positions 524 to 776 of the family's 1533-position model. The record is from RNAcentral.